RNAcentral lists this ribosomal RNA (739 nucleotides) under uncultured Bacilli bacterium. RNAcentral describes it as "bacterial SSU rRNA". It matches the Rfam family "Bacterial small subunit ribosomal RNA", at positions 27 to 749 of the family's 1533-position model. Lineage: Bacteria; Bacillati; Bacillota; Bacilli. The record is from RNAcentral.
GGAUGAACGCUGGCGGCGUGCCUAAUACAUGCAAGUAGAACGCUGAAGGAAGGAGCUUGCUCUUUCCGGAUGAGUUGCGAACGGGUGAGUAACGCGUAGGUAACCUGCCUGGUAGCGGGGGAUAACUAUUGGAAACGAUAGCUAAUACCGCAUAACAGUAGAUAUUGCAUGACAUCUGCUUGAAAGGGGCAAUUGCUCCACUACCAGAUGGACCUGCGUUGUAUUAGCUAGUUGGUGAGGUAACGGCUCACCAAGGCGACGAUACAUAGCCGACCUGAGAGGGUGAUCGGCCACACUGGGACUGAGACACGGCCCAGACUCCUACGGGAGGCAGCAGUAGGGAAUCUUCGGCAAUGGACGGAAGUCUGACCGAGCAACGCCGCGUGAGUGAAGAAGGUUUUCGGAUCGUAAAGCUCUGUUGUAAGAGAAGAACGAGUGUGAGAGUGGAAAGUUCACACUGUGACGGUAUCUUACCAGAAAGGGACGGCUAACUACGUGCCAGCAGCCGCGGUAAUACGUAGGUCCCGAGCGUUAUCCGGAUUUAUUGGGCGUAAAGCGAGCGCAGGCGGUUAGAUAAGUCUGAAGUUAAAGGCUGUGGCUUAACCAUAGUACGCUUUGGAAACUGUUUAACUUGAGUGCAAGAGGGGAGAGUGGAAUUCCAUGUGUAGCGGUGAAAUGCGUAGAUAUAUGGAGGAACACCGGUGGCGAAAGCGGCUCUCUGGCUUGUAACUGACGCUGA